Long non-coding RNA from Amphiprion ocellaris (clown anemonefish), 1272 nucleotides. RefSeq lists it as uncharacterized. The transcript is spliced from 3 exons. The record is from RefSeq and is a predicted model, not a curated record. Lineage: Eukaryota; Metazoa; Chordata; Actinopteri; Pomacentridae.
AAUGUCACUUAAAUGUCACAAGAUUUAAAAGUGAAUCACUGUAUUUAAGUUGAACAGUAGAGUAAUUUAUCUUAUGAGCAACCGAUAACAGCAAUUCACCUUAGUAGAAACACCUGUGAUCACUGUUCCCUCUAAACUGAGCGCGUGCGCAAUUGCGCACUGCUGACACGGUCUCCGCGCACAGAAAAUCUGCACUGCGCACAAAAAAAAAAAUCCAACCUAAAUUGUAAAUAAAAUAAACACGUAACAAUUCAUUCUGUGCUAUUUUUCAGUGUGAGUCAGUGAGUGACCGGUGACUGGCUGCUGCAGCCAAUGAUGCGAUUCACAUACGUAUUUACCAUAGACUGUAUAUAAUGGUAUUUACGCAGCUAAUCAACGUCAGGCGUCCUUAUGUGCAGCCACCGUUGUUCUCAUAGAUAUGAAUGAGUAGAUAGGACACGCCCCUUUGAGCUGCGUGCUACAGCGAGGCUAAGCUAGUGGGGGAAAAGUUUCAGUGCAUUCCGUUGAUGUAGACAGUGUGAAAACGGAAACAAGUAUGCCGGCUCACUGUGCUGCAUACAGUUACACACUGCGUCGUACGAUUGAGACAAGGAAACCUGGAAUGACUUUUCAUAGGUUUCCCAGAGACUAUGGGUUGAGGAGGAAGUGGAAGUUUGUCGGCUUAGACCUGGUGUCAUUCCAUCAGUGUUAAACUUCCCGGCUUAUCUUGGAAGAGUACGUGCCAGAAAGACCACGACCAAGCAGCCUUGAGAUCUUAGGCAGCGUCUCCCUGAGGUCCCUCUCUAUCUCCCUACACAUCCACCAACCACUGGAACACAUCUCCAAAGUUCUGCCGGGCCAGCUCAGCUUCCCCUCAGAAGAAGUUCCACCAGAUGAAGGAGCCUUUUGAGAGGCAGCUGGCAUCGUGAUUGGACUGUACUUUGGUCUGUUCUAAUCCAGCUUCAGCUCCAGAGACGGCAGGCGGGACGAGUCAACGGAGGCUGGGUGGACGAAGGCAUGCAGCUGAGUACAAUCCAGAAAACAACAGAGGAGGAGUGCAGCGGCCCAGGGCCAGAACAAACAGAGUAGCAUCGUAUGUCUCUUAGAAAACAUCAUAGCAUAGCCUUUGGUAUGAAAAAACGCCAUCAUAUACAUCGUAUAUUGUACAAAUAACAAGUCAAAGGAAAGAGACAUACAUUGUAGAAUUGUAGUAAUUGUGGGCUGACUGAUUUACUGAUUAUCAGUAUUUUAUUUUUUUACUAAUUUACGGUAAUAAAUACAUUUAAAAAUGGU